GCUUCCUGUGUUGGUGUGUACAGCCUGCAGGCAGCUCCUGACUGUUAUCUUCUUACUGGUUCUGUGGAGACGAGUCUUGGCCAGGAGAAGUCUUCAUGGUGCCCCAGGCCAGAUAGUGAAAAAGGAAAGGUGAAUGACUCCAAACAGAGAAGACGUCCUCUGGAUCAAUUUAUGAUGGCUAUUGAGAAAAGGGUCUCCCCGAAACGCGUCUAGCAACCUACCCUACUGCACCGAUCAUCUACAGGAUUCAUUUCCAGCCACCUAUCAGUCAUCCACAUUUGCAACAGCUGGAACCCCCCAAACUAGAGACCACUGGGACGUGCGCCACGAUAACGCCGCCCGUCUCUAACCUUUGCCUGCACACUCACCCAGCUGCCUCCGUACAGCAACCCCGAAGAUCCAUCAUACAGACACUUUGAGCCGGCCACCGAGCAGAGCCAGUCUGUUACACGGAGCCCAGCAGACCAGGUGCUACCACCCAGGGAAUCCAUCUAGACGGAGCGUGCCGCCUGCCGCAGCAAGUCCAUCCCGCUUUGUGGCGGGCUCUGGUGAAAACCAGUGGCACCUUAGACUCUGCUUCCUGGUACUGUCCGAG
Molecule: long non-coding RNA, 595 nt
Organism: Hyla sarda
Lineage: Eukaryota; Metazoa; Chordata; Amphibia; Anura; Hylidae
Exons: 4
Source: RefSeq, a predicted model, not a curated record